AUGACUCUCGGCAACGGAUAUCUCGGCUCUCGCAUCGAUGAAGAACGUAGCGAAAUGCGAUACUUGGUGUGAAUUGCAGAAUCCCGUGAACCAUCGAGUCUUUGAACGCAAGUUGCGCCCGAAGCCUUUUGCCCGAGGGCACGUUUGCCUGGGCGUC
This 157-nucleotide ribosomal RNA is filed under the name Armeria villosa subsp. bernisii. Its description in RNAcentral is "5.8S ribosomal RNA". It matches the Rfam family "5.8S ribosomal RNA". Rfam says of the family: 5.8S ribosomal RNA (5.8S rRNA) is a component of the large subunit of the eukaryotic ribosome. It is transcribed by RNA polymerase I as part of the 45S precursor that also contains 18S and 28S rRNA. Lineage: Eukaryota; Viridiplantae; Streptophyta; Magnoliopsida; Caryophyllales; Plumbaginaceae. The record is from RNAcentral.